RNAcentral lists this ribosomal RNA (392 nucleotides) under uncultured bacterium. RNAcentral describes it as "partial 16S ribosomal RNA". It matches the Rfam family "Bacterial small subunit ribosomal RNA", at positions 523 to 918 of the family's 1533-position model. The record is from RNAcentral.
AUACGGAGGAUCCGAGCGUUAUCCGGAUUUAUUGGGUUUAAAGGGUGCGCAGGCGGCCAUUUAAGUCAGCGGUUAAAUCGUGGGGCUCACCCCCAUUCUGCCGUUGAUACUGGGUGGCUUGAUUGCGGUCGAGGUUGGCGGAAUUCGUUGUGUAGCGGUGAAAUGCAUAGAUAUGACGAAGAACACCGAUUGCGUAGGCAGCUGACCAGACCGCAAAUGACGCUCAUGCACGAAAGUGCGGGGAUCGAACAGGAUUAGAUACCCUGGUAGUCCGCACAGUAAACGAUGAAUACUUGUUUUCGGCGAUAUAAUGUCGGAGGCAAAGCGAAAGCGAUAAGUAUUCCCCCUGGGGAGUACGCCGGCAACGGUGAAACUCAAAGGAAUUGACGGGG